This 292-nucleotide ribosomal RNA is filed under the name uncultured Planctomycetota bacterium. RNAcentral's name for it is "uncultured planctomycete partial 16S ribosomal RNA". The record is from RNAcentral. Lineage: Bacteria; Pseudomonadati; Planctomycetota.
GGACUACACGGGUAUCUAAUCCCGUUCGCUACCCUAGCUUUCGUGCCUCAGCGUCAGAAAAGACCCAGUGAGCCGCUUUCGCCACGGGUGUUCCUUAGGAUAUCAACGCAUUUCACCGCUCCACCCUAAGUUCCGCUCACCUCUGUCUUCCUCGAGCACAGUAGUUUUGGGCGCAGUUCCUCGGUUGAGCCGAGGGAUUUCACACCCAACUUUCUGCGCAGCCUACGCACCCUUUAAGCCCAGUAAUUCCGAAUAACGUUUGUGUGGUUCGUCUUACCGCGGCGGCUGGCAC